AGAGGGUGCAAGCGUUAAUCGGAAUUACUGGGCGUAAAGGGCGCGUAGGUGGCUAGUCAAGUCAGAUGUGAAAUCCCCGGGCUUAACCUGGGAACUGCAUCUGAAACUGGUUAGCUAGAGUACAGUAGAGGGAAGUGGAAUUUCAGGUGUAGCGGUGAAAUGCGUAGAUAUCUGAAGGAACACCAGUGGCGAAGGCGACUUCCUGGACUGAUACUGACACUGAGGCGCGAAAGCGUGGGGGAGCAAACAGGAUUAGAUACCCUGGUAGUCCACGCCGUAAACGAUGAGAACUAGCUGUUGGGGGGAGAUUCCCCCCUCUUAGUGGCGAAGCUAACGCAAUAAGUUCUCCGCCUGGGAGUACGGCCGCAAGGUUA
RNAcentral lists this ribosomal RNA (374 nucleotides) under uncultured organism. RNAcentral describes it as "partial 16S ribosomal RNA". It matches the Rfam family "Bacterial small subunit ribosomal RNA", at positions 527 to 896 of the family's 1533-position model. The record is from RNAcentral.